RNAcentral lists this ribosomal RNA (347 nucleotides) under Staphylococcus aureus. RNAcentral's name for it is "partial 23S ribosomal RNA". It matches the Rfam family "Bacterial large subunit ribosomal RNA", at positions 68 to 408 of the family's 2925-position model. Lineage: Bacteria; Bacillati; Bacillota; Bacilli; Caryophanales; Staphylococcaceae. The record is from RNAcentral.
ACGAUAUGCUUUGGGGAGCUGUAAGUAAGCUUUGAUCCAGAGAUUUCCGAAUGGGGAAACCCAGCAUGAGUUAUGUCAUGUUAUCGAUAUGUGAAUACAUAGCAUAUCAGAAGGCACACCCGGAGAACUGAAACAUCUUAGUACCCGGAGGAAGAGAAAGAAAAUUCGAUUCCCUUAGUAGCGGCGAGCGAAACGGGAAGAGCCCAAACCAACAAGCUUGCUUGUUGGGGUUGUAGGACACUCUAUACGGAGUUACAAAGGACGACAUUAGACGAAUCAUCUGGAAAGAUGAAUCAAAGAAGGAAAUAAUCCUGUAGUCGAAAAUGUUGUCUCUCUUGAGUGGAUCC